Molecule: long non-coding RNA, 504 nt
Organism: Gossypium arboreum
Lineage: Eukaryota; Viridiplantae; Streptophyta; Magnoliopsida; Malvales; Malvaceae
Exons: 2
Source: RefSeq, a predicted model, not a curated record
AAUGAAAUAAGUACAAAUAAAUUUAGGAUGAAUUACAUCAAAACAUCCUAAUUUGACUUAUGAAGGUGUUGAAUUGUACAUUUUGAUAACCAUUUCGUACAUAAUAAGCCUGGAGUUGCUGUUUUCUCAACCCUUGUAGGUUAACUUUUGUGUUGCAACACAAAAACUGAUAAUUGCGGUUCAUGGCAUGAUGUGUGUGAUUCCAAAUAGGCAGGUCUAUUACUUCAACUGGUGGCAAGUGAUGCACCUGCAGUCCCGUUCCCAUUCAUGUUGCCUUCUCUGAGUUUGUGUUGUACCCUUCUUACCUCCCAGUCCCGUUGUAGCAUUCCGUUCAACGCUCGAACUAUAGCAUUAUGAUGUUGCCUCUUUCCAGCUAGUCGGUAGCUGCACUAUAGCUGUGUUAUCGACCUCCAAAACUACUCUUGGAAUGAAUUUAUUGUGAUUCAUAAUUUUCAUGUAUCUUGAUUCGUCAUUCUCAAGCAAUAAAUUUAUUGUGAUUCAUAA